Molecule: non-coding RNA, 444 nt
Organism: Myodes glareolus (Bank vole)
Lineage: Eukaryota; Metazoa; Chordata; Mammalia; Rodentia; Cricetidae
Source: RefSeq, a predicted model, not a curated record
CCUUCUGUGUCUGUGGAACUGGUCCCAGGGCCUGUCACAGCUGACAAGGUCUGCAGAUGUGUAAGAGUGCCGUGUAAAACCGCCUGGCGUUUGCAUACUGCUGGAAACUUCCUGCGUGCUGAUCAUGUCCAGGUGACUCACAGUACCCAAAACAAUAGAAAUGCCAUGAUCUUCACCGGAACACCUCUGGGAUAUCCUGUUGUUGCCCUGUGUCAUAGAGACCUUGCAGCUUUGGUUCUGAAGAACCAGUCUCUUCACGUGCUCCAGCAGGUAUGGCAGAGGAAAGUGUUUAUACUGCUGCAGCGGCUGAGCUCAAGAUGGAGACGAGAGACUAUGUAGGAGCCUGGACAGGUAUGACUAUGAUUUAGCCAAAACAAACACCCCGUUCUGAAGUGGAGUGAAUACCACAGAAUCCACCUAUGUGGCACAUAGAGCGCUUGCAGU